UAACGGCGAGUGAACAGGGAAAAGCCCAGCACCGAAGCCUGUGGUCAUUUGGUCACUAGGCAAUGUGGUGUUCAGGUCGUUCCAUAGAGGUGCUGCUCCACCCUAAGUCCAGCAAUGAGUACGGUGGUACGGACAUGGCCCACAGAGGGUGAAAGGCCCGUGGGGGUGGAGAUCAGGCAGGCCAGUGCCUCUCUGGGUAGACCUUGGAGUCGGGUUGUUUGUGAAUGCAGCCCAAAGUGGGUGGUAAACUCCAUCCAAGGCUAAAUACUUGCACGAGUCCGAUAGCGAACAAGUACCGUGAGGGAAAGUUGAAAAGUACUUUGAAGAGAGAGUAAACAGUGCGUGAAACCGCUCAGAGGUAAACGGGUGGAGUUGAACUGCAAGCUUCGGGAAUUCAGCUGGUGAGUGUGGUUUGGGCUUGGUCAAGUCGGUUGGACAUUGAGGUCUGUGUAGCGGCAGGUCCUUACUCUCGGGUAAGGAUGCGCGAUACACUUAUCAAGUGUUGUGCGCCUCUUUGUUUAUCGGGCCAAUUUGCCAGUGCACUUUCUCGGAGUGUUCACCACGACCGGCACUGCUGUCUGAUUGCUGUGGUUAAACCGGACUUACAGGGCUCUUGUGGCGUUGUAUGGCCGGGAAGGCAGGUAGCUCGUUGGCUAGCUUGCGGUUUACCGCUGGCGUUUGGUUUUCGAGUGUAAAUAGCUGACCACGAUAUUUCUGUGCAGUGUGUCGGAGACGGCGGCUUGUGGUACGUGCGUGCGUGCCGGUUCUGCUGGCGUGUCCGGGUUUGGUUGUCAUGUUGCUUGUGAAUGCAGGCCUGGCAAUGGUUCGGAUUCGUUUGGUGGGCGGUUGCGUAUGUGGUGCCGUUAAGGGCCAACAGUCUGUGGUGUAGUGGUAGACUAUCCACCUGACCCGUCUUGAAACACGGACCAAGGAGAGUAACAUGUGCGCGAGUCAUUGGGCGUAACGAAACCCACAGGCGCAGUGAAAGUAAAGGCUUGGCUUGUCCAGGCUGAGGUGAGAUCCUGUCGUUUUCACACAUGGUGCCACCAAGCAACGAGCGGCAGGCGCAUCACCGGCCCGUCCCAUGACGUAGACACAUAAUCUUCGGACCAGUGCACCGUCGGGGCGGAGCAUGAGCGUACAUGUUGAGACCCGAAAGAUGGUGAACUAUGCUUGCGCAGGUUGAAGCCAGAGGAAACUCUGGUGGAGGACCGCAGCGAUUCUGACGUGCAAAUCGAUCGUCAAACGUGAGUAUAGGGG
Molecule: ribosomal RNA, 1260 nt
Filed under: Paragonimus westermani
Lineage: Eukaryota; Metazoa; Platyhelminthes; Trematoda; Plagiorchiida; Troglotrematidae
Description: eukaryotic LSU rRNA
Rfam family: Eukaryotic large subunit ribosomal RNA
Source: RNAcentral